Molecule: ribosomal RNA, 718 nt
Filed under: uncultured Bacteroidota bacterium
Lineage: Bacteria; Pseudomonadati; Bacteroidota
Description: bacterial SSU rRNA
Rfam family: Bacterial small subunit ribosomal RNA
Source: RNAcentral
CGAGAACGUUCUGGCUUUGCCAGGACAAGUACAGUGGCGGACGGGUGCGUAUCGCGUAGAUAACCUGCCCUCAGGCGCGGGACAAUCACGGGAAGCCGUGGCUAAUACCGCACGUCGUCUGGACCCCGCAUGGGGACCAGAUGAAAGCCUUCGGGCGCCUUUGGAUGGGUCUGCGUUGGAUUAGCUUGUUGGUGAGGUAACGGCUCACCAAGGCAACGAUCCAUAGCUGGUCUGAGAGGACGAUCAGCCACACUGGGACUGAGACACGGCCCAGACUCCUACGGGAGGCAGCAGUGGGGAAUCUUGCACAAUGGGGUCACCCCUGAUGCAGCCAUGCCGCGUGGAGGAAGACACCCCUAUGGGGCGUAAACUCCUUUUCUGAAUGAAGAAACCCCUGUAGGUUCAGGGCGCGACGGUAGUUCAGGAAUAAGCACCGGCUAACUCCGUGCCAGCAGCCGCGGUAAUACGGAGGGUGCAAGCGUUGUCCGGAAUCACUGGGUGUAAAGGGUGUGCAGGCGGGGCAGCAAGUCGGAUGUGAAACCCCAUGGCUUAACCAUGGAGGUGCAUUCGAAACUGUUGCUCUUGAGUCCCGGAGAGGCUGUCGGAAUUCGUGGUGUAGCGGUGAAAUGCGUAGAUAUCACGAGGAACACCAGAGGCGAAAGCGGACAGCUGGACGGGUACUGACGCUCAGGCACGAAAGCGUGGGGAGCAAACAGGA